AGAGUUUGAUCAUGGCUCAGAUUGAACGCUGGCGGAAUGCUUUACACAUGCAAGUCGAGCGGCAGCGCGGGGCAACCUGGCGGCGAGCGGCGAACGGGUGAGUAAUGCAUCGGAACAUGUCCAUGUCGUGGGGGAUAGCCCGGCGAAAGCCGGAUUAAUACCGCAUACGCCCGAGAGGGGAAAGUGGGGGACCGCAAGGCCUCACGCGAUUGGGUUGGCCGAUGUCCGAUUAGCUAGUUGGUGGGGUAAAGGCCCACCAAGGCGAUGAUCGGUAGCUGGUCUGAGAGGAUGAUCAGCCACACUGGGACUGAGACACGGCCCAGACUCCUACGGGAGGCAGCAGUGGGGAAUUUUGGACAAUGGGGGCAACCCUGGUCCAGCCAUUCCGCGUGAGUGAAGGAGGCCUUCGGGUUGUAAAGCUCUUUUGUCCGGAACGAAACGGGUCGCGCCAAUACCGCGGCCUACUGACGGUACCGGAAGAAUAAGCACCGGCUAACUACGUGCCAGCAGCCGCGGUAAUACGUAGGGUGCGAGCGUUAAUCGGAAUUACUGGGCGUAAAGCGUGCGCAGGCGGUUUUGUAAGCCAGAUGUGAAAUCCCCGGGCUUAACCUGGGAAUGGCAUUUGGGACUGCAAGGCUGGAGUGCGGCAGAGGAGACUGGAAUUCCCGGUGUAGCAGUGAAAUGCGUAGAUAUCGGGAGGAAUACCGAUGGCGAAGGCAGGUCUCUGGGCUGACACUGACGCUCAUGCACGAAAGCGUGGGGAGCAAACAGGAUUAGAUACCCUGGUAGUCCACGCCCUAAACGAUGUCGA
RNAcentral lists this ribosomal RNA (811 nucleotides) under uncultured bacterium. RNAcentral's name for it is "bacterial SSU rRNA". It matches the Rfam family "Bacterial small subunit ribosomal RNA", at positions 8 to 815 of the family's 1533-position model. The record is from RNAcentral.